GCCACGGCCUGUUGUAGUACACGAGGCCGCUGUGUACUACAACAGGCCGUGGCUCG
RNAcentral lists this microRNA precursor (56 nucleotides) under Mesocestoides corti. RNAcentral's name for it is "microRNA mco-mir-12069 precursor". The record is from miRBase by way of RNAcentral. Lineage: Eukaryota; Metazoa; Platyhelminthes; Cestoda; Cyclophyllidea; Mesocestoididae.